GGGGAUACAGCUCAGCGGCAGAGCGCCUGCCUAGCAUGCAUGCGGUCCCGGGUUCAAUCCCCAGCACUUCCA
This 72-nucleotide transfer RNA is filed under the name Camelus bactrianus (Bactrian camel). It matches the Rfam family "tRNA". Rfam says of the family: Transfer RNA (tRNA) molecules are approximately 80 nucleotides in length. Their secondary structure includes four short double-helical elements and three loops (D, anti-codon, and T loops). The record is from Rfam by way of RNAcentral. RNAcentral also lists the same sequence under 2 other names. Lineage: Eukaryota; Metazoa; Chordata; Mammalia; Artiodactyla; Camelidae.